UCCCUCCCCUUCUCUAAUUUCCCCCCGCAUCCAUCCACAACCCACCCCGAAUUUUCUUCAUAUAGAUAGAUUCAUCUGGCUCUCUUCUUCUCUAGAUUGCAGCGACCGGCGAUGGCACUUUGGGGGAGGCCGCCCUGCGCUCAGGCCGUGCUCGGGCCUUGGAUCCAGCGCAACAACUUGCCCCGCGAGCAGCCCCUCUUCUCCCAGAUUGCAGCGACCUAUGACGGCAGAUUGGAGCAGGCCGCCCCACCGGCCGGGAUGGGAUCCACCGCACCGACCCUCCCCGUGAGAACCCGACCCUCUUGUCUCCCCAAUUGAAACCACCAGCGACGACUCUCUAGUGCAACUGCCAGGCUUCACACAUUGGUGGCAUACAAGUCCUAAAUUGUGUUUUUGUAAGAUUCAGGUAUCUACCAAAAGGCAUCUUUUGUAGUUUAAUUAAGUCGUACUUCUGAUUUGGACUUGAAACUUCAAUUUUCAAAUUGAAGGAGGCCGCCGCACCGCCGACCUUGGAUCCAUAGCAUCAACCCGACUCGAGCACCCGACUCUCUUCUCCCCUGCAAUGGGCGAUGUCUCUCGGUGAUUUACUCAUCCUGCCCUCCUCAUGUCGCCACUGCUUGAUGUUUAGUGAUUCAGGUUCAUGCAUACUACUCGUCAUCCUGCUCUUCUAUGUAAUUUAGGAUUUGCCACAACUUGCUACGGUAAAAAGCCUGAACCUCUUGCCAAUUAACUUUUGAUAUCCUAUUGAUAGAUGUGUGUAAAACUGCACUAUUGCAUUUGUUAUAGCCAGCUAUUGUAAAAAGGCCUGAACCUGAAUAUAUGCUACUGCAGUACAGUAAGCCGUUGUGCAAAUGUUCAGUUAGCUAUCAGAUGCAUGGCCUUAGCUGAGAGAUUUCUUUUGCAGCCAUGUGCUCGUAUGGCUACUCACGCAUACAAAAGGAAACUAUAUGUUGACCAUCUGAUUGUUGAACAAUGCUGUAAUGACAAAAACUAGAUUCUCUUGAUCGCUGAAUGGUGUCAUAAUCAGAUGAACAUAAACACAUGAACUAAAGUAUGCAAGUACAAGAAGGAAGCAGCACAUCCUUGUAUCUACAUGUCCGAAUAAACUAGCUUCUGGAUGCAACUACUAUAUGUAUGCUAAAACCUGGAACUUAUGGUUCUGCUGUCCCAUAAAUAGUACUUCAGUAGUGUUGUUAAAACUGAAUAAAGACUGAGCCUGCACCUAAUUUUGACUCGCUACAGAGAUGUAUAGCCCUGCACCAGUGUACUUUUCUCUCCACUACUAGAUAAAACAGAAUUAACUUAAUCUUUUCCAUGCCUCUCGUAAUUGAUUAGCUACCCAUGAUGUUAAGCAUAUAAAGCCCACAAACAUUUUCAGUAUGCCCAGAACUUGAUACAAGUAGAUACAUGGUAAACUUCAAUUUUUGACUAUAUUAUGACAUACUAAACUGGGUAAAUCAAUCUGCUCCUAAUUUUGGAUGAGUAUAGUAAAUUUUCUGGUUUUCUAAACUAUGCCAGCAGCUACAGUAAUCAUAUUUUUUGAUGUUUUUAUUCUGAACAUUCUGUUCUUGUUUUUCAUGGUUUGUUGUCUGCUUCUUCCUGACUGUGCCCCAGCUGCAUCAUGCAUGUUGAUUGCUUCACAUGUUAGAUCGCAAUGAAUGAAAUCUUCAUUUUCUAUUUAUAUAAUCUGACAGGAACUGCUUGUUGGCAGUGUUGCCUGUUUACGUCUAUUUUACGCAAUCUAGUUCUUUUUGUCUAGCACCAAUGCGAAGCCAACUUUUAACAGGUAAGUCAAUGUAAUCAGUUAUGUUACAAGUACUCCAUUCAUAUGCUUACUUAUAGUGCAAGAAAGGGUAAAUGCUUUUCAUUAAUUUCACUUUAACUAUUACUUAUAUAUAAUAUUAGUGCAUCCUGUGUUUGUAUCCUAACUUAUCUACUUUAUUAUAUUCAGAUGUAAGCGACAGAAUAAUACAUUUGCACAUAUAAAAUGGCUGCAUCUUUUAAGGCCCAUUUCCAAACAAGUUUAUGCAGAAUCCAUUUAUCUAGUGUAGGCUGAUGGUCUUUUUGCAACUCAUUCAGUUCUGUUAUCUUUUCCAUCUUAAGUUACUAAAAUAAUGCCACCAAGCGAGAGCAUGUGAAGAGACGCAGAGGAAGCAACAUGAAGAAUUGGAUGCUGUGAAGAAGAGCGAGCAAGAGAAGAAUGAAGCAUGGCAAAAGAAGCAACAUGAGAGGAUAACGUCAUUGGUUUUCUAUUAAGGGCUCAAGCACGUCGACAAGCAACUCAACAGUCCUAGUUCAAACUAGAAGGGUCAUGAAGACCAUCCUUUUGUGAUGGAAAUAGUUGUUGAAUCAUACAUUGCAAUCAUCAUGACAACACAUGUUGUUUUUAGUUAUCUAAAUAUUGCUCUUCAACUUGACUAUUGUUGUGUCAAACUUGUGAGUUGGUGUUAUUUUGUAUUGUCAUUUUAGUUUAGAGGACAAUUAGGCUGAGAGAUUGAAUAUAUAGUAUGAUUUGUCAUCCAUUUUAUUUUAUGAUGUGAUUUGGAUCUUAACUUUUUAUAUAAUGUGAUGUGAAUUAAAUACUUACUA
Triticum aestivum (bread wheat) is the source of this 2589-nucleotide long non-coding RNA. RefSeq lists it as uncharacterized. The record is from RefSeq and is a predicted model, not a curated record. The transcript is spliced from 2 exons. NCBI's taxonomy places the organism in Eukaryota, Viridiplantae, Streptophyta, Magnoliopsida, Poales, Poaceae.